GAACGCUGAAGCUUGGUGCUUGCACCGAGCGGAUGAGUUGCGAACGGGUGAGUAACGCGUAGGUAACCUGCCUCUUAGCGGGGGAUAACUAUUGGAAACGAUAGCUAAUACCGCAUAAAAGUCGAUAUCGCAUGAUAUUGAUUUGAAAGGUGCAAUUGCAUCACUAAGAGAUGGACCUGCGUUGUAUUAGCUAGUUGGUGAGGUAACGGCUCACCAAGGCGACGAUACAUAGCCGACCUGAGAGGGUGAUCGGCCACACUGGGACUGAGACACGGCCCAGACUCCUACGGGAGGCAGCAGUAGGGAAUCUUCGGCAAUGGGGGCAACCCUGACCGAGCAACGCCGCGUGAGUGAAGAAGGUUUUCGGAUCGUAAAGCUCUGUUGUAAGAGAAGAACGAGUGUGAGAGUGGAAAGUUCACACUGUGACGGUAACUUACCAGAAAGGGACGGCUAACUACGUGCCAGCAGCCGCGGUAAUACGUAGGUCCCGAGCGUUAUCCGGAUUUAUUGGGCGUAAAGCGAGCGCAGGCGGUUAGAUAAGUCUGAAGUUAAAGGCUGUGGCUUAACCAUAGUACGCUUUGGAAACUGUUUAACUUGAGUGCAGAAGGGGAGAGUGGAAUUCCAUGUGUAGCGGUGAAAUGCGUAGAUAUAUGGAGGAA
RNAcentral lists this ribosomal RNA (659 nucleotides) under uncultured Bacilli bacterium. RNAcentral's name for it is "bacterial SSU rRNA". It matches the Rfam family "Bacterial small subunit ribosomal RNA", at positions 64 to 706 of the family's 1533-position model. The record is from RNAcentral. Lineage: Bacteria; Bacillati; Bacillota; Bacilli.